This 1430-nucleotide small RNA is filed under the name Arabidopsis thaliana (thale cress). RNAcentral describes it as "ATSL264550". The record is from RNAcentral. Lineage: Eukaryota; Viridiplantae; Streptophyta; Magnoliopsida; Brassicales; Brassicaceae.
UAACUACUAACUGUGUGUUUUUCUUGUUGUCUUCUUGAUCCAGGUACACCUCUACUGUAUGCGAACUCGAUCAACAGGCAACCAGAACCUCCUUUUCAACGACAACAUCAACCGCACAGCCCGCGAAAUCAGAAAAAGGAGAACCACAGUCAACACUGUACCUCAGCAACCACUCGUUAUGGCUGAAGAACAGAAUCAACAAAAUGGCCAUGCCAACAUUGGUGUUGGAGAUGCACCACGUGAUCACCGUCAGAGGAAGGGAAUCGCACCUCCUGCUAUCCAGAAUAACAACUUCGAGAUUAAGAGUGGUCUCAUCUCGAUGAUUCAGGGGAACAAAUUCCAUGGUUUGCCAAUGGAGGAUCCACUCGACCACCUUGAUGAAUUCGAUAGGCUCUGCAACCUAACGAAGAUCAACGGUGUCAGUGAAGACGGAUUCAAGCUCCGUUUGUUCCCAUUCUCGUUGGGCGACAAAGCACAUAUCUGGGAGAAGAAUCUGCCCCAUGACUCAAUCACCACCUGGGAUGAUUGUAAGAAAGCUUUUCUGUCAAAGUUCUUCUCCAAUCCCAGAACUGCAAGACUCAGAAAUGAGAUUUCUGGUUUCUCACAGAAGACUGGUGAAAGCUUCUGUGAAGCAUGGGAGCGUUUCAAGGGUUACACCAACCAAUGCCCUCAUCAUGGCUUUACUAAAGCCUCUCUUCUCAGCACUCUUUACAGAGGAGUCCUACCACGCAUCAGAAUGCUUCUGGAUACCGCUAGCAAUGGGAAUUUCCAGAACAAGGAUGUUGAAGAAGGCUGGGAAUUGGUUGAGAACUUGGCUCAAUCAGAUGGUAAUUACAACGAGGACUGUGAUAGGACCGUCAGAGGCACAGCUGACUCUGAUGACAAACACAGGAAGGAUAUCAAAGCGCUGAAUGACAAGCUGGACAGGAUUCUUCUUAGCCAGCAUAAGCAUGUGCACUUCCUUGUUGAUGACGAGCAGUAUGAAGUCCAAGAUGGGGAGGGUAACCAGUUGGAAGAAGUAAGCUACAUCAACAACAACCAGGGUGGCUACAAAGGAUACAACAACUUCAAAACCGACAAUCCCAACCUCUCCUACCGCAGCACAAACGUUGCUAAUCCUCAGGAUCAGGUGUAUCCUCCGCAGCAACAACAAAGUCAGAACAAACCUUUUGUUCCCUGCAACCAAGGUUUCGUUCCCAAGCAGCAAUUCCAGGGGAACUACCAGCAACCACCACCACCUGGGUUUGCACCUCAGCAAAACCAAGGUCCUGCUGCUCGUGAUGCUGAAAUGAAACAGAUGGUCCAGCAGCUGCUACAGGGACAAUCAUCUAGCUCAAUGGAAAUGGCUAAGAAAUUAUAUGAAUUGCACCAUAAGCUGGACUGCAGCUACAAUGACCUGAAUGCCAAAGUGGAGGCAUUGAAUACCAAAC